Oncorhynchus keta (chum salmon) is the source of this 1978-nucleotide long non-coding RNA. RefSeq lists it as uncharacterized. Lineage: Eukaryota; Metazoa; Chordata; Actinopteri; Salmoniformes; Salmonidae. The record is from RefSeq and is a predicted model, not a curated record. The transcript is spliced from 4 exons.
ACAGGGUUGGUAGGUUGGUUAAAGGGUUGGUGGGUUGGUAACAGGGUUACAGGGUUGGUAGGUUGGUUAAAGGGUUGGUGGGUUGGUAACAGGGUUACAGGGUUGGUAGGUUGGUUAAAGGGUUGGUGGGUUGGUAACAGGGUUACAGGGUUGGUAGGUUGGUUAAAGGGUUGGUGGGUUGGUAACAGGGUUACAGGGUUGGUAGGUUGGUUAAAGGGUUGGUGGGUUGGUAACAGGGUUACAGGGUUGGUAGGUUGGUUAAAGGGUUGGUGGGUUGGUAACAGGGUUACAGGGUUGGUAGGUUGGUUAAAGGGUUGGUGGGUUGGUAACAGGGUUACAGGGUUGGUAGGUUGGUUAAAGGGUUGGUGGGUUGGUAACAGGGUUACAGGGUUGGUAGGUUGGUUAAAGGGUUGGUGGGUUGGUAACAGGGUUACAGGGUUGGUAGGUUGGUUAAAGGGUUGGUGGGUUGGUAACAGGGUUACAGGGUUGGUAGGUUGGUUAAAGGGUUGGUGGGUUGGUAACAGGGUUACAGGGUUGGUAGGUUGGUUAAAGGGUUGGUGGGUUGGUAACAGGGUUACAGGGUUGGUAGGUUGGUUAAAGGGUUGGUGGGUUGGUAACAGGGUUACAGGGUUGGUAGGUUGGUUAAAGGGUUGGUGGGUUGGUAACAGGGUUACAGGGUUGGUAGGUUGGUUAAAGGGUUGGUGGGUUGGUAACAGGGUUACAGGGUUGGUAGGUUGGUUAAAGGGUUGGUGGGUUGGUAACAGGGUUACAGGGUUGGUAGGUUGGUAACAGGGUUACAGGGUUGGUAGGUUGGUUAAAGGGUUGGUGGGUUGGUAACAGGGUUACAGGGUUGGUAGGUUGGUUAAAGGGUUGGUGGGUUGGUAACAGGGUUACAGGGUUGGUAGGUUGGUUAAAGGGUUGGUGGGUUGGUAACAGGGUUACAGGGUUGGUAGGUUGGUUAAAGGGUUGGUGGGUUGGUAACAGGGUUACAGGGUUGGUAGGUUGGUAACAGGGUUACAGGGUUGGUAGGUUGGUUAAAGGGUUGGUGGGUUGGUAACAGGGUUACAGGGUUGGUAGGUUGGUUAAAGGGUUGGUGGGUUGGUAACAGGGUUACAGGGUUGGUAGGUUGGUUAAAGGGUUGGUGGGUUGGUAACAGGGUUACAGGGUUGGUAGGUUGGUUAAAGGGUUGGUGGGUUGGUAACAGGGUUACAGGGUUGGUAGGUUGGUUAAAGGGUUGGUGGGUUGGUAACAGGGUUACAGGGUUGGUAGGUUGGUUAAAGGGUUGGUGGGUUGGUAACAGGGUUACAGGGUUGGUAGGUUGGUUAAAGGGUUGGUGGGUUGGUAACAGGGUUACAGGGUUGGUAGGUUGGUUAAAGGGUUGGUGGGUUGGUAACAGGGUUACAGGGUUGGUAGGUUGGUUAAAGGGUUGGUGGGUUGGUAACAGGGUUACAGGGUUGGUAGGUUGGUUAAAGGGUUGGUGGGUUGGUAACAGGGUUACAGGGUUGGUAGGUUGGUUAAAGGGUUGGUGGGUUGGUAACAGGGUUACAGGGUUGGUAGGUUGGUUAAAGGGUUGGUGGGUUGGUAACAGGGUUACAGGGUUGGUAGGUUGGUUAAAGGGUUGGUGGGUUGGUAACAGGGUUACAGGGUUGGUAGGUUGGUUAAAGGGUUGGUGGGUUGGUAACAGGGUUACAGGGUUGGUAGGUUGGUUACAACGUUGGUGGAUUGGUUGGUUGGUUGGUGGGUUGUUUGCAGGGAUGAUGGGUUGGUUGGUUACAGGGUUGGUAGGUUGAAAUCCACGAUCAUCUCCUUUGUUUUGUUGACGUUUAGUGUGAGGUUAUUUUCCUGACACCACACUCCGAGGGCCCUCACCUCCUCCCUGUAGGCCGUCUCGUCGUUGUUGGUAAUCAAGCCUACUACUGUAGUGUCGUCUGCAAACUCGAUGAUUGAGUUGGAGGCGUGCAUGGCCAGUGUGCAGUGU